UUUGGACACAGAGAUCAGCUCGAUUCUUUCUCAUACAGAACAUAUAAAAUAAAACACUAUUUACAGACUAGGACUCUCGGACUUAACAAACUCUGAAGUCUGCAUCGUAACUUCAAUAAUAUAGACUCAAUUAUUACAUAUGACUUUUAUAGAAGAAAAUGACACAAUAAUUUUGCACGCUUUAAUAGUACAAAUAGAUGAAGCUGUAAAGAUUCCAAAUAAUGCUUCUUGACAUCAUUUAUGACGAUAAUUUGCUUGAGAAAAAUCAUAGCCAUAAUAGUCAUCCUCAUUUUGAGGUGUAAAUUCCUCAGGAGCUUCGAUCUGCCUGGCUGUUUCUAUAACAUUUCUUUCUCUUACUUCAAAGUUUGAUUCGUCAUCGAUGUCACUACUCUUCUCUGAAGACUUUGAAACUUGAUCAUAAGCCAUUUUUAAGAGUUUUUAAAAAUCUUCUAGAGACUUGACACCUGGUAAAAGAGCUUGAAGUUUUCUUUUGUUUGUCAAAAAAUUAGCUUUGUUGGGGUAGAAGCUAAUUGAGCUUUAACUCCAUGAUGUUGUAACCAUUUUGUAAUCUCCUUUUGACAAGCUAACUGGAGUUUAAACUUUGACCACCAUUUAACUCUAAAAGUUCUUUGUAAUAUUGCAUAUGAAUUCUCUUGAUCUUGUGCGACAUCAAAGGCCCAAGAGAAAAUCCAAGGAACUCCAAAUGUAAAAGAAUAAGAAAGCACUGGAUUUAACUUUAAAUUCUUCAUUUCUCUUUUAUAAAGAUCAAAUCCUUCCCAGAUUUGUAAAGUCAUAAUUUCUCUAAUGAGACCAAAAUAACUCCACCAAUUUAAGAACCAGUGAGGAAAGUGUGAGGGACAUGUCUUUGACCAGGAAAAGAACCAAGUGUGAGUCCAGUUCCUGACAAAAAAGGCAUUCCACCUUGCAGUCUUGUAAUCAAAAUAAUUGUAACAAGCUAGCUUAAAAUUAAUUGAGAACUUCUUUCCUAUGUAAUGGCUUUGCUUCCAAUCUAUAAUUGUUAAAAUCUUAUUAAUUUUAGCUUUGCUAUAAGAGAUCUUGUGAGGUUCCUUCUCAUCAAAUACAUGCUCAAGUUUGAUAGAGCAGGAAUCUACAAGUAUUAAUUCAUAAAAUUUUCUAUUUUUGUAAGGGUUUUCUUGGAUAAAAUAAUGGUUUGGUUGAAAUAAGUUUUGGAUGAUGUUUGGGUAAUUUGGGUUAUUAAAGUUUCCAUUAAAAAUUUUGAGUUCUAGGAUUGUAAUGUGUUUUGCAAUAGGUUUAGUAUAAAACUUGGUUGGGUUAAAGGUUAGGCUUUUUAAUAAUGCUUCAGUGUAAUUAGAGGCAAAUUUUGUUUGUGGGGAGGAGGAAGAGGCUU
RNAcentral lists this unclassified non-coding RNA (1369 nucleotides) under Hevea brasiliensis (rubber tree). Lineage: Eukaryota; Viridiplantae; Streptophyta; Magnoliopsida; Malpighiales; Euphorbiaceae. The record is from RNAcentral.